RNAcentral lists this long non-coding RNA (1095 nucleotides) under Canis lupus dingo (dingo). Its description in RNAcentral is "lncRNA (ENSCAFG00020017242.1)". The record is from RNAcentral. Lineage: Eukaryota; Metazoa; Chordata; Mammalia; Carnivora; Canidae.
AUGGGACACAGCAGCACGGCUGGGGAGGAAGGACUGCGAAGGCGGGGGCUGCAAGGUACCCGCAGGCGCCCCCCCCCAUGCUGCACACCCCCCCAUCCACACUGCACCCCCAGGUCCACACUGCACCCCCCCCGUCCACACUGCACCCCCAGGUCCACACUGCACCCCCUGUCCACACUGCACCCCCCCAUCCACACUGCACCCCCAGGUCCACACUGUACCCCCUGUCCACACUGCACACCCCCACGUCCACACUGCACACCCCAUGUCCACACUGCACACACACUCCUUCCACACUGCACACCCCCACGUCCACACUGCACCCCCACGUCCACAUUGCACCUCCUGUCCACACUGCACACCCCCUGUCCACACUGCACACUCCCUGUCCACAUUGCACACCCCCGUCCAUACUACACACCCCCUGUCCACACUGCACACCCCCCCUCCACACUGCACACCCCACCUCCACCCUGCACACCCCUCCACUCUGCACACCCGCUGCCCCGCCCUCCGCGGCUCCCCGUUACUGUCCGGGGCGGCCUCCUGGCCGGUGACCGGCUGUCCCCGCGGUCCUCAGCACUCCUAGCCGGGCGGGGGCGGAGCGGAGCGGCCUGGAUGCCUCCAAGGUCCCAGGGGUGGCUCGGGCAGCGGGAACCCUCUGUUCCUUCCUCGAGCGCGAGCAUGACGGAUCCCUGCGACCCGGGUGCCCGGGGUCCAGGGGGCGCCCCGACCCGGGGUGGGGGUGGGGGUGUUGCUGCUCCCCCCGACAGCCGCGGGGGGCAGGAAAGGAGGCCCGGGGUGGCCCGCGAGGAGCCGGCGGGGCGCGGGGGGGGGGGGGGCGGUCGGGGGAGGGUCUGGGGGAGGGCGCGGGGAGCCCCGGAGCGCAGGCGGGCAGGGGGGCAGGGCCCCCAAGGGCAUCAGCCGUGCUCCCCUUUCCCAGGCCCACCGCCUGGCCCAGCUCGGCCUGCAGAUGCGGCCCUGCAGGCGCUGGAGCCUAGUCCUGAGCACUGUGGCUCAGGGUUUAAAUGCAGGAGCCAGCUUUUAACAUCACCUCGACCGAACCAGUGCUUGUUCUGUGUUCUCCAACCGUAG